UGGCGGCAGGCCUAACACAUGCAAGUCGAGCGGUAACAGAAAGAAAGCUUGCUUUCUUUGCUGACGAGCGGCGGACGGGUGAGUAAUGCCUAGGGAUCUGCCCAGUCGAGGGGGAUAACAGUUGGAAACGACUGCUAAUACCGCAUACGCCCUACGGGGGAAAGGAGGGGACCUUCGGGCCUUUCGCGAUUGGAUGAACCUAGGUGGGAUUAGCUAGUUGGUGAGGUAAUGGCUCACCAAGGCGACGAUCCCUAGCUGUUCUGAGAGGAUGAUCAGCCACACUGGGACUGAGACACGGCCCAGACUCCUACGGGAGGCAGCAGUGGGGAAUAUUGCACAAUGGGGGAAACCCUGAUGCAGCCAUGCCGCGUGUGUGAAGAAGGCCUUCGGGUUGUAAAGCACUUUCAGUUGUGAGGAAAGGGUGUUGCUUAAUACGUAACAUCUGUGACGUUAGCAACAGAAGAAGG
Molecule: ribosomal RNA, 467 nt
Filed under: marine sediment bacterium ISA-1312
Lineage: Bacteria
Description: bacterial SSU rRNA
Rfam family: Bacterial small subunit ribosomal RNA
Source: RNAcentral